CACCAGACUCCUACGGGAGGCAGCAGUGGGGAAUAUUGCACAAUGGGGGAAACCCUGAUGCAGCGACGCCGCGUGAGCGAUGAAGUAUUUCGGUAUGUAAAGCUCUAUCAGCAGGGAAGAAGAAAGACGGUACCUGACUAAGAAGCCCCGGCUAACUACGUGCCAGCAGCCGCGGUAAUACGUAGGGGGCAAGCGUUAUCCGGAUUUACUGGGUGUAAAGGGAGCGUAGACGGCAAUGCAAGCCAGAUGUGAAAGCCCGGGGCUCAACCCCGGGACUGCAUUUGGAACUGUGUAGCUGGAGUGUCGGAGAGGCAGGCGGAAUUCCUGGUGUAGCGGUGAAAUGCGUAGAUAUCAGGAGGAACACCGGUGGCGAAGGCGGCCUGCUGGACUGCAACUGACGUUGAGGCCCGAAAGCGUGGGGAGCAAACAGGAUUAGAUACCCGCGUAU
This 448-nucleotide ribosomal RNA is filed under the name uncultured bacterium. RNAcentral's name for it is "partial 16S ribosomal RNA". It matches the Rfam family "Bacterial small subunit ribosomal RNA", at positions 329 to 793 of the family's 1533-position model. The record is from RNAcentral.